UACAUAGGGUGCAAGCGUUGUCCGGAAUUAUUGGGCGUAAAGAGCUCGUAGGUGGUUCGUCACGUCGGAUGUGAAACUCUGGGGGCUUAACCCCAGACCUGCAUUCGAUACGGGCGAGCUUGAGUAUGGUAGGGGAGUCUGGAAUUCCUGGUGUAGCGGUGGAAUGCGCAGAUAUCAGGAGGAACACCAAUGGCGAAGGCAGGACUCUGGGCCAUUACUGACACUGAGGAGCGAAAGUCUGGGGGAGCGAACAGG
RNAcentral lists this ribosomal RNA (255 nucleotides) under uncultured bacterium. RNAcentral describes it as "partial 16S ribosomal RNA". It matches the Rfam family "Bacterial small subunit ribosomal RNA", at positions 524 to 776 of the family's 1533-position model. The record is from RNAcentral.